RNAcentral lists this ribosomal RNA (2905 nucleotides) under Escherichia albertii. RNAcentral's name for it is "23S ribosomal RNA". It matches the Rfam family "Bacterial large subunit ribosomal RNA". The record is from RNAcentral. Lineage: Bacteria; Pseudomonadati; Pseudomonadota; Gammaproteobacteria; Enterobacterales; Enterobacteriaceae.
GGUUAAGCGACUAAGCGUACACGGUGGAUGCCCUGGCAGUCAGAGGCGAUGAAGGACGUGCUAAUCUGCGAAAAGCGUCGGUAAGGUGAUAUGAACCGUUAUAACCGGCGAUGUCCGAAUGGGGAAACCCAGUGUGUUUCGACACACUAUCAUUAACUGAAUCCAUAGGUUAAUGAGGCGAACCGGGGGAACUGAAACAUCUAAGUACCCCGAGGAAAAGAAAUCAACCGAGAUUCCCCCAGUAGCGGCGAGCGAACGGGGAGGAGCCCAGAGCCUGAAUCAGUGUGUGUGUUAGUGGAAGCGUCUGGAAAGGCGCGCGAUACAGGGUGACAGCCCCGUACACAAAAAUGCACAUGCUGUGAGCUCGAUGAGUAGGGCGGGACACGUGGUAUCCUGUCUGAAUAUGGGGGGACCAUCCUCCAAGGCUAAAUACUCCUGACUGACCGAUAGUGAACCAGUACCGUGAGGGAAAGGCGAAAAGAACCCCGGCGAGGGGAGUGAAAAAGAACCUGAAACCGUGUACGUACAAGCAGUGGGAGCCCUGAUUUAUCAGGGUGACUGCGUACCUUUUGUAUAAUGGGUCAGCGACUUAUAUUCUGUAGCAAGGUUAACCGAAUAGGGGAGCCGGAGGGAAACCGAGUCUUAACUGGGCGUUAAGUUGCAGGGUAUAGACCCGAAACCCGGUGAUCUAGCCAUGGGCAGGUUGAAGGUUGGGUAACACUAACUGGAGGACCGAACCGACUAAUGUUGAAAAAUUAGCGGAUGACUUGUGGCUGGGGGUGAAAGGCCAAUCAAACCGGGAGAUAGCUGGUUCUCCCCGAAAGCUAUUUAGGUAGCGCCUCGUGAAUUCAUCUCCGGGGGUAGAGCACUGUUUCGGCAAGGGGGUCAUCCCGACUUACCAACCCGAUGCAAACUGCGAAUACCGGAGAAUGUUAUCACGGGAGACACACGGCGGGUGCUAACGUCCGUCGUGAAGAGGGAAACAACCCAGACCGCCAGCUAAGGUCCCAAAGUCAUGGUUAAGUGGGAAACGAUGUGGGAAGGCCCAGACAGCCAGGAUGUUGGCUUAGAAGCAGCCAUCAUUUAAAGAAAGCGUAAUAGCUCACUGGUCGAGUCGGCCUGCGCGGAAGAUGUAACGGGGCUAAACCAUGCACCGAAGCUGCGGCAGCGACACUGUGUGUUGUUGGGUAGGGGAGCGUUCUGUAAGCCUGCGAAGGUGUGCUGUGAGGUAUGCUGGAGGUAUCAGAAGUGCGAAUGCUGACAUAAGUAACGAUAAAGCGGGUGAAAAGCCCGCUCGCCGGAAGACCAAGGGUUCCUGUCCAACGUUAAUCGGGGCAGGGUGAGUCGACCCCUAAGGCGAGGCCGAAAGGCGUAGUCGAUGGGAAACAGGUUAAUAUUCCUGUACUUGGUGUUACUGCGAAGGGGGGACGGAGAAGGCUAUGUUGGCCGGGCGACGGUUGUCCCGGUUUAAGCGUGUAGGCUGGUUUUCCAGGCAAAUCCGGAAAAUCAAGGCUGAGGCGUGAUGACGAGGCACUACGGUGCUGAAGCGACAAAUGCCCUGCUUCCAGGAAAAGCCUCUAAGCAUCAGGUAACAUCAAAUCGUACCCCAAACCGACACAGGUGGUCAGGUAGAGAAUACCAAGGCGCUUGAGAGAACUCGGGUGAAGGAACUAGGCAAAAUGGUGCCGUAACUUCGGGAGAAGGCACGCUGAUAUGUAGGUGAAGCGACUUGCUCGUGGAGCUGAAAUCAGUCGAAGAUACCAGCUGGCUGCAACUGUUUAUUAAAAACACAGCACUGUGCAAACACGAAAGUGGACGUAUACGGUGUGACGCCUGCCCGGUGCCGGAAGGUUAAUUGAUGGGGUCAGCGCAAGCGAAGCUCUUGAUCGAAGCCCCGGUAAACGGCGGCCGUAACUAUAACGGUCCUAAGGUAGCGAAAUUCCUUGUCGGGUAAGUUCCGACCUGCACGAAUGGCGUAAUGAUGGCCAGGCUGUCUCCACCCGAGACUCAGUGAAAUUGAACUCGCUGUGAAGAUGCAGUGUACCCGCGGCAAGACGGAAAGACCCCGUGAACCUUUACUAUAGCUUGACACUGAACACUGGUCCUUGAUGUGUAGGAUAGGUGGGAGGCUUUGAAGUGUGGACGCCAGUCUGCAUGGAGCCGUCCUUGAAAUACCACCCUUUAAUGGCUGGUGUUCUAACGUGGGCCCGUAAUCCGGGUUGCGGACAGUGUCUGGUGGGUAGUUUGACUGGGGCGGUCUCCUCCUAAAGAGUAACGGAGGAGCACGAAGGUUGGCUAAUCCUGGUCGGACAUCAGGAGGUUAGUGCAAUGGCAUAAGCCAGCUUGACUGCGAGCGUGACGGCGCGAGCAGGUGCGAAAGCAGGUCAUAGUGAUCCGGUGGUUCUGAAUGGAAGGGCCAUCGCUCAACGGAUAAAAGGUACUCCGGGGAUAACAGGCUGAUACCGCCCAAGAGUUCAUAUCGACGGCGGUGUUUGGCACCUCGAUGUCGGCUCAUCACAUCCUGGGGCUGAAGUAGGUCCCAAGGGUAUGGCUGUUCGCCAUUUAAAGUGGUACGCGAGCUGGGUUUAGAACGUCGUGAGACAGUUCGGUCCCUAUCUGCCGUGGGCGCUGGAGAACUGAGGGGGGCUGCUCCUAGUACGAGAGGACCGGAGUGGACGCAUCACUGGUGUUCGGGUUGUCAUGCCAAUGGCACUGCCCGGUAGCUAAAUGCGGAAGAGAUAAGUGCUGAAAGCAUCUAAGCACGAAACUUGCCCCGAGAUGAGUUCUCCCUGAGACUUAGAGUCUCCUGAAGGAACGUUGAAGACGACGACGUUGAUAGGCCGGGUGUGUAAGCGCAGCGAUGCGUUGAGCUAACCGGUACUAAUGAACCGUGAGGCUUAACCUU